AAUAUUCGACAAUGGGGGCAACCCUGAUCCAGCCACGCCGCGUGUGUGAAGAAGGUCUUCGGAUUGUAUAGCACUUUAAGUUGGGAGGAAGGGCCUUAAGCUAAUACCCUGAAGUUUUGACGUUACCACCAGAACAAGCACCGGCUAACCCUGCGCCAGCAGCCGCGGUAAUACAGAGGUAGCAAGAGUUAAUCGGAAUUACUGGGCGUAACGCGCGCGUAGGAGGUUCAGUAAGAUGGGUGUGAAAUCCCCGGGCUUAACCUGGGAACUGCUUUCAUAACUGCUGAGCUAGAGUACGGUAGAGGGUAGUGGAAUUUCCUGUGUAGCGGUGAAAUGCGUAGAUAUAGGAAGGAACACCAGUGGCGAAGGCGACUACCUGGACUGAUACUGACACUGAGGUGCGAAAGCGUGGGGAGCAAACA
This 422-nucleotide ribosomal RNA is filed under the name uncultured bacterium. Its description in RNAcentral is "partial 16S ribosomal RNA". It matches the Rfam family "Bacterial small subunit ribosomal RNA", at positions 360 to 774 of the family's 1533-position model. The record is from RNAcentral.